Molecule: ribosomal RNA, 254 nt
Filed under: uncultured bacterium
Lineage: Bacteria
Description: partial 16S ribosomal RNA
Rfam family: Bacterial small subunit ribosomal RNA
Source: RNAcentral
UACGUAGGGGGCAAGCGUUGUCCGGAUUUAUUGGGCGUAAAGAGCGUGUAGGCGGCCUGAAAGGUCAGCUGUGAAAACUCGAGGCUCAACCUCGAGACGUCGGUUGAAACCAUCUGGCUAGAGUCCGGAAGAGGAGAGUGGAAUUCCCGGUGUAGCGGUGAAAUGCGCAGAUAUCGGGAAGAACACCCGUGGCGAAGGCGGCUCUCUGGGACGGUACUGACGCUGAGACGCGAAAAGCGUGGGGAGCGAACAGG